GAUGAACGCUGGCGGCGUGCCUAAUACAUGCAAGUCGAGCGAACAGACGAGGAGCUUGUUCCUCUGACGUUAGCGGCGGACGGGUGAGUAACACGUGGAUAACCUACUUAUCAGACUGGGAUAACCUCGGGAAACCGGCGAUAAUACCGGAUAAUAUAUUGAACCGUAUGGUUCAAUAGUGAAAGACGGUUUUGCUGUCACUUAUAGAUGGAUCCGCGCCGCAUUAGCUAGUUGGUAGGGUAACGGCUUACCAAGGCAACGAUGCGUAGCCGACCGGAGAGAGUGAUCGGCGACACUGGAGCUGGAACACGGUCCAGACUCCUACGGGAGGCAGCAGUAGGGAAUCUUCCGCAAUGGGCGAGAGCCUGACAGAGCAACGCCGCGUGAGUGAUGAAGGUCUUCGGAUCGUAAAGCUCUGUUAUUAGGGAAAAACAAAUGUGUAAGUAACUAUGCCCGUCUUGACGGUACCUGGUCAAAAAGCCACGGCUAACUACGUG
This 497-nucleotide ribosomal RNA is filed under the name uncultured bacterium. RNAcentral's name for it is "partial 16S ribosomal RNA". It matches the Rfam family "Bacterial small subunit ribosomal RNA", at positions 28 to 507 of the family's 1533-position model. The record is from RNAcentral.